GCUGAAUAACAAACAGCCCCAGAAAUUUGUGGCUUAACAAAACAACCAUUUACUUAGCUCAUGAUUCUGUAGGUCAGUAAUUUCAGCUCAUCCAGGUGACCCUUUGGGUCUUGACUGGGCUCCCUCAUGUGUCUAAGGUCAGCUGCCAGAUGGGCAGCUCAGCCACUGGGGGCUUCUGGCUGUCAGCAGGGCCAGCAGAAAAACUGCAGGAUAGCCUGGGCAUGCAUAUAAGGAGGGGGAGAAUUGUGCCUAUUUUUGCAACUAACACUGAUACUAUUGUGUGCCUCUAUAAUAAGACACAAAAAUAUUGAGGGUGGAAAAGAAGACAGAAAUCUUGACAUUACAGCUAUUUCUUUAUUACUGUUCUUACUGACAGAAUCAGUUUCACAAGAAGCUUAUUUUCUUUUCACCAGCCUAAAUCACCUUAGCAUAUAAGAUGAUAUAAAAUAAUAUAUAUUAUUAUCUAUUAUGUGUAUAUAGGAAGAAAUAUAUUAAAUAUAUAGUUGGAUUUAUAUAUUAUAGAAAUAUAUAAUGGAUUUCUAUAUUAUAGAAAUAUAUAUUUAUAUGUUUACUAUAUUUCUGCUUUAAUAUGUAUUUAAAAUCUUUCUUCUCAAUUAUAAAUAUAAUAAUUAUUAUAUAUUAUAUAUUAUAAUUCUUAUUAUAAAUAUAUUAAGAAAUAAAUUUCUUAAUAUAUAAAUAAAUAUAUUAGAUGAAAAAAUUUGGUACCAAAAUGAUCAUGUAGGAAAGCAGUCCGAUGCUGGCAAAAUAAACUACUCUGGGUAUAAUUAGCCACCUGGCAUUCAAUAAGUGCAGUUGACUAACUGGCUGGCUUACAAGUGGAGGCUGGAACUAUUUCACUCUGUUUCCUCCCUGAUACCAUUUGCGGAGAAAAUUUUUUAGGCUUAAUUUUAAGGGCAAAAAUAGGAAUACGAGGAAAACAUAUGAAAUCUCCCAAAAGUAGUUGCUUGGUCAUCCAGGCUAGAGUGCAGUGGUGGUAACACGGCUUAUUGCAGCCUUGACCUCCUGGGCUCAGGUGAUUCUCCUGCCUUAGCCCCCCAAGUAGCUGGGACUACAGGCAAGUGCACCAUGCCUGGCUCAUUUUUGUAUUUUAUUGUAGAGACGGGGUUUUGCCAUGUUGCUCAGGCUGGUUUCAAAAUCCUGAGCUCAAGCGAUCCUCCUUCCUUGGCCUUCCAAAGUGCUGGGAUUACAGGCGUCAAUCACCUUGCCCUAAAAUAAUUUAAUGACUGGCAGAAACUUGUUUUGGCCUAAGCCAUUUAAAAAACUUUCAAAAGUACAAACAACGUAUUUGCUAUAGCAUAUUUAUUCCAUAAUUUUGGUUUUCCUUGUCAGAAGAAUAUAUAGUUUCUCCAUAUUUAUCUGAAAGGGAUAGAUAUUUAACCUUGUUGAGGGGCACUUAAAUGUAGUUCCAUGAUUUAUUUUUGUGUUUAUGUCUUUAAUUUUAAGAUCAGUUCAUUACGAUCAUUGAUUGAUUCCUGCCAGUGGCUUUGGAAAGCACAUGCCUAUUAAGUCAAUAAAGGAACAAUGCUAGGAUGACCUGAAUAUAAAUAUUUAAUUAGUUCAAGUAUAAUCUUGGUGCGGCUUGCUUUCUUAGAUCUGGAUAUGUCUGUGUUUACAUAACCAUGUAAAAGUGGCCAAAAUAUGCUUUUCGAAGUUAUAGGCAGCUGGUUAUGUUCCCUAGUGGCACUCAGAAUUCCCAGCUGUUCUGGUACUAAGCCAAGUGUAACCCUGAAUUUGAUUAGAAACAUUAAUAUUAGAAAAACUGACUACGUGAUUAUGUCCAACACUAGGCAUUACCACAGACCUCGGACAACUCCAAUGAGAAAGAAAAAGUCAAUUGAAUGAGAAAAGAGUAAAAAGAAUCAGAGUUAGGAAGCUCUUAAUAGUCCACAGUUUUACCGAGUAGACAUUAAGUCUUAUACCCCUUAUCCAUUAUGUGCAGAAAUAACAUUACUUCUAUCCAGUGUAUGUGAGGAUGUAUAAAAAUUUACUUAGAUUUUGCAUGAAGUCAUAACAGACAUAAAACACAUACCAAAAAUUUAGACAUUUCUUCCAUAUCAUUUAGGAUAGCUGAGAAGUCCGUAUCAUUUUCAAUGCUACCAAUGGAUGACUGGAA
Molecule: long non-coding RNA, 2134 nt
Filed under: Homo sapiens (human)
Lineage: Eukaryota; Metazoa; Chordata; Mammalia; Primates; Hominidae
Description: HSALNT0247485
Source: RNAcentral